RNAcentral lists this ribosomal RNA (497 nucleotides) under uncultured bacterium. RNAcentral's name for it is "partial 16S ribosomal RNA". It matches the Rfam family "Bacterial small subunit ribosomal RNA", at positions 28 to 507 of the family's 1533-position model. The record is from RNAcentral.
GAUGAACGCUGGCGGCGUGCCUAAUACAUGCAAGUCGAGCGAACAGACGAGGAGCUUGCUCCUCUGACGUUAGCGCCGGACGGGAGAGUAACACGUGGAUAAACUACCUAUAAGACUGGGAUAAUUUCGGGAAACCGGAGCUAAUACCGGAUAAUAUAUUGAACCGCAUGGUUCAAUAGUUGAAGACGGUUUUGCGGUCACUUAUAGAUGGAUCCGCGCCGGAUUAGCUAGUUGGUAAGGUAACGGCUUACCAAGGCGACGAUGCGUAGCCGACCUGAACGGGUGAUCGGCCACACUGGAACUGAGACACGGUCCAGACUCCUACGGGAGGCAGCAGUAGGGAAUCUUCCGCAAAGGGGGAAAGCCUGACAGAGCAAAGCCGCGUGAGUGAUGAAGGUGUUCGGCUCGUAAAACUCUGUUGUUAGUGAAGAAGAAAUGUGUAAGUACCUAUGCACGUAUUGACGGUACCUAAUCAGAAAGCCACGGCUAACUACGUG